AUUGAACGCUGGCGGCAUGCUUUACACAUGCAAGUCGAACGGCAGCGCGGGCUUCGGCCUGGCGGCGAGUGGCGAACGGGUGAGUAAUGCAUCGGAACGUGCCCAGUAGUGGGGGAUAGCCCGUCGAAAGCCGGAUUAAUACCUCAUACGACCUGAGGGUGAAAGCGGGGGACCGAAAGGCCUCGCGCUAUUGGAGCGUCCGAUGUCGGAUUAGCUAGUUGGUGGGGUAAAGGCUUACCAAGGCGACGAUCCGUAGCUGGUCUGAGAGGACGACCAGCCACACUGGGACUGAGACACGGCCCAGACUCAUACGGGAGGCAGCAGUGGGGAAUUUUGGACAAUGGGGGCAACCCUGAUCCAGCCAUGCCGCGUGCGGGAAGAAGGCCUUCGGGUUGUAAACCGCUUUUGUUCGGGAAGAAAUCCUCUGGGCUAAUACCCCGGGGGGAUGACGGUACCGGAAGAAUAAGCACCGGCUAACUACGU
RNAcentral lists this ribosomal RNA (483 nucleotides) under uncultured bacterium. Its description in RNAcentral is "partial 16S ribosomal RNA". It matches the Rfam family "Bacterial small subunit ribosomal RNA", at positions 29 to 506 of the family's 1533-position model. The record is from RNAcentral.